This 253-nucleotide ribosomal RNA is filed under the name uncultured bacterium. RNAcentral describes it as "partial 16S ribosomal RNA". It matches the Rfam family "Bacterial small subunit ribosomal RNA", at positions 524 to 776 of the family's 1533-position model. The record is from RNAcentral.
GACGGAGGGGGCUAGCGUUGUUCGGAAUUACUGGGCGUAAAGGGCUCGUAGGCGGCCAACUAAGUCAGACGUGAAAUCCCAAAGCUUAACUUUGGAACUGCGUCGGAUACUGGAUGGCUUGAAUUCGGGAGAGGGAUGCAGAAUUCCAGGUGUAGCGGUGAAAUGCGUAGAUAUCUGGAGGAAUACCGGUGGCGAAGGCGGCAUCCUGGACCGACAUUGACGCUGAGGAGCGAAAGCUAGGGGAGCAAACGGG